GUAUAGGGGAGCCGUAGGGAAACCGAGUCUUAACCGGGCGUUAAGUUGCAGGGUAUAGACCCGAAACCCGGUGAUCUAGCCAUGGGCAGGUUGAAGGUUGGGUAACACUAACUGGAGGACCGAACCGACUAAUGUUGAAAAAUUAGCGGAUGACCUGUGGCUGGGGGUGAAAGGCCAAUCAAACCGGGAGAUAGCUGGUUCUCCCCGAAAGCUAUUUAGGUAGCGCCUCGUGAAUUCAUCUCCGGGGGUAGAGCACUGUUUCGGCUAGGGGGCCAUCCCGGCUUACCAACCCGAUGCAAACUGCGAAUACCGGAGAAUGUUAUCACGGGAGACACACGGCGGGUGCUAACGUCCGUCGUGAAGAGGGAAACAACCCAGACCGCCAGCUAAGGUCCCAAAGUCAUGGUUAAGUGGGAAACGAUGUGGGAAGGCCCAGACAGCCAGGAUGUUGGCUUAGAAGCAGCCAUCAUUUAAAGAAAGCGUAAUAGCUCACUGGUCGAGUCGGCCUGCGCGGAAGAUGUAACGGGGCUAAACCAUGCACCGAAGCUGCGGCAGCGAACGUAUCACCCAAGACAACUUUACGGAGUUGACGAUUGACGGAGCGAAGCGACGUCAAAGCGUUCAUUAAAGUCGAGUUGGCUUAGGGAUACGUUCGUUGGGUAGGGGAGCGUUCUGUAAGCCUGUGAAGGUGUGUCGUGAGGCAUGCUGGAGGUAUCAGAAGUGCGAAUGCUGACAUAAGUAACGAUAAAGCGGGUGAAAAGCCCGCUCGCCGGAAGACCAAGGGUUCCUGUCCAACGUUAAUCGGGGCAGGGUGAGUCGACCCCUAAGGCGAGGCCGAAAGGCGUAGUCGAUGGGAAACGGGUUAAUAUUCCCGUACUUGGUGUUACUGCGAAGGGGGGACGGAGAAGGCUAUGUUGGCCGGGCGACGGUUGUCCCGGUUUAAGCGUGUAGGUGUGUGUUCCAGGUAAAUCCGGUUCACUUUAACACUGAGGCGUGACGACGAGGCACUACGGUGCUGAAGCAACAAAUGCCCUGCUUCCAGGAAAAGCCUCUAAGCAUCAGGUAACACGAAAUCGUACCCCAAACCGACACAGGUGGUCAGGUAGAGAAUACCAAGGCGCUUGAGAGAACUCGGGUGAAGGAACUAGGCAAAAUGGUGCCGUAACUUCGGGAGAAGGCACGCUGACACGUAGGUGAAGUGAUUUACUCAUGGAGCUGAAGUCAGUCGAAGAUACCAGCUGGCUGCAACUGUUUAUUAAAAACACAGCACUGUGCAAACACGAAAGUGGACGUAUACGGUGUGACGCCUGCCCGGUGCCGGAA
This 1323-nucleotide ribosomal RNA is filed under the name Salmonella enterica. RNAcentral's name for it is "partial 23S ribosomal RNA". It matches the Rfam family "Bacterial large subunit ribosomal RNA", at positions 655 to 1874 of the family's 2925-position model. The record is from RNAcentral. Lineage: Bacteria; Pseudomonadati; Pseudomonadota; Gammaproteobacteria; Enterobacterales; Enterobacteriaceae.